Molecule: non-coding RNA, 24 nt
Filed under: Arabidopsis thaliana (thale cress)
Lineage: Eukaryota; Viridiplantae; Streptophyta; Magnoliopsida; Brassicales; Brassicaceae
Also listed under: 3 other names
Source: RNAcentral
CCGUCUUGAAACACGGACCAAGGA